GACGAACGCUGGCGGCGUGCUUAACACAUGCAAGUCGAACGAAGUGGCGAACGGGUGAGUAAUACGUGGGUAACCUGCCCUCCUUUUUGGGAUAAGCCUUGGAAACGGGGUCUAAUACCGACUAAAGGGGGAUGGGCUUGCGGCCUAUCAGCUUGUUGGUGGGGUGAUGGCCUACCAAGGUGGUGACGGGUGGCCGGCCUGAGAGGGGGGCCGGCGACAUUGGGACUGAGAUACGGCCCAGACUCCUACGGGAGGCAGCAGUGGGGGGGAUUGCACAAUGGGCGAAAGACUGAUGCAGCGACGCCGCGUGGGGGAUGAAGGCGUUCGGGUUGUAAAAUGCUUUAUGUGGGGAUAAGGUACCACAUGAAUAAGGACCGGCUAAUUCCGUGCCAGCAGCCGCGGUAAUAC
RNAcentral lists this ribosomal RNA (408 nucleotides) under uncultured bacterium. RNAcentral's name for it is "partial 16S ribosomal RNA". It matches the Rfam family "Bacterial small subunit ribosomal RNA", at positions 28 to 526 of the family's 1533-position model. The record is from RNAcentral.